CCUACGGGAUGCAGCAGUGGGGAAUAUUGGACAAUGGGGGGAACCCUGAUCCAGCGACGCCGCGUGAGUGAAGAAGUAUUUCGGUAUGUAAAGCUCUAUCAGCAGGGAAGAAAGAAAUGACGGUACCUGACUAAGAAGCCCCGGCUAAAUACGUGCCAGCAGCCACGGUAAUACGUAGGGGGCACGCGUUCUCCGGAUUUACUGGGUGUAAAGGGUGCGUAGACGGUUACGCAAGUCUGGAGUGAAAGGCGGGGGCCCAAACCCCGGACUGCUUUGGAAACUGUAUAACUGGAGUGCAGGGGAGGUAAGUGGAAUUCCUAGUGUAGCGGUGAAAUGCGUAGAUAUUAGGAGGAACACCAGUGGCGAAGGCGGCUUACUGGACUGUAACUGACGUUGAGGCUCGAAAGCGUGGGGAGCAAACAGGAUUAGAUACCCUUGUAGUC
Molecule: ribosomal RNA, 443 nt
Filed under: uncultured bacterium
Lineage: Bacteria
Description: partial 16S ribosomal RNA
Rfam family: Bacterial small subunit ribosomal RNA
Source: RNAcentral